AUGGCGAGUAAUAUGCAGACUCCUGGUCCGCCUCAGCCCCCCCGGCCUCCUAUGAUGGGUUCUACCGCACCACAAAAUAUGGGACAACCAAUGCCCAUGCAGUGGCCACCUGGUCCGCCACAACAGCCUCCUCAGUUCAUGCAACCAGCGCCACAACAGUAUCGGCCUGUUGGUCAGGCCAUGCCAGGAGUUAACAUGGGCAUGCCAGGGCAGAUGCAACAUUUUCAGCAACCUGGGCCACAUAUGCCUCACUCUGGUCAUGUUCCGCCUGCAUCGCAAGCUGUUCCUAUGCCGUACCAGGCAGCCAGACCUAUGUCAUCAGCUCCUAUGCAGCCACAGCAGCAAGCUGUAUUCCCUGGUGGACUUAUGCCCACCAUGGGCACCCCUAUGCCGCCUCCUUCUUAUACCUAUCAACCAACAUCGGUUCCUCCUGGAUCUCAACCCUGGGGCACAGUCCCGGGUCAGGGCGCACCUCUUGUGUCGCCGAUGGUGCAGCCUGGGCAUCAGUCUCUCUCAGCUUCAGUGCCCCCAUUAGCAAAUGUGCAGGUGAGCUCAACUGAACCUAGCUCUGCGGAUUGGCAAGAGCACAGUUCAGGGGAUGGAAAGAAGUACUAUUACAAUAAGAGGACAAAGCAAUCAAGUUGGGAGAAACCUGCUGAGUUGAUGACCCCUUUGGAGCGGGCUGACGCUUCAACUGAAUGGAAAGAAUUUACUACAGCAGAAGGGCGGAAGUACUAUUACAACAAAGUGACAAAGCAAUCCAAAUGGUCUAUUCCUGACGAGCUAAGGAUUGCACGUGAAUUAGCAGAAAAGACAUCAAAUCAGCAGCCUGCCCGGGAGACUGAAUCCACUACUGUUGCCCCUGUUGGAUCCACUUCUGUUUCUGUGGAGCCUUCCUUACCUGCCAAACAGUCUUCAUCUUUAGUAGGAACAAUUGCUCCAAGCUCCCAUGAUGCGAUAGCAAACUUGCCUCCUCCUGGUGCUGGCCCGUCGUACAAUGGGGUUAUAUCUUCUUCUAGUUCCAUGCAAAACGGUGGAACAAGUGCUGCUGUGGUUGCCCCUGUUACAACGAGCACUGGAGAUCCAUCGGUUGCAAGUGAUGCAGGGACAAACAGAAGCACUUAUGGAAGUUCAUCUGUACCUAGUACUACUGACACAAAAGUUGGAGCAUCUGCCGAAGAUUUGGAGGAGGCCAAAAAGACGAUGCCAACUGCAGGGAAGAUCAAUGUUACUCCGCUGGAGGAUAAAACAAGUGAAGAAGAACCUGUUGUUUAUGCUACUAAGUUGGAAGCAAAGAAUGCAUUUAAGUCCCUGCUUGAAUCGGCAAAUGUUCAGUCAGAUUGGUCAUGGGAUCAGGCUAUGAGAGUUAUUAUAAGUGACAAAAGAUAUGGUGCCCUGAAAACUCUUGGAGAGAGAAAGCAAGCUUUCAAUGAGUACUUAAACCAGCGGAAAAAGAUUGAAGUUGAGGAGAGGCGUGUCAAGCAAAGGAAAGCACGUGAUGAUUUUCUCACAAUGCUGGAAGAAUGUAAGGACCUUACAUCAUCACUGAGAUGGAGCAAAGCAAUUACUAUGUUUGGGCAUGAUGAAAGGUUCAAUGCUGUUGAACGCCCCAAGGAGCGUGAAGAUUUAUUUGAGAACUAUCUCGUGGAGCUACAAAAGAAGGAAAAAGCAAAGGCUGCUGAAGAGCACAAAAGACGAAUAGCAGAAUAUAGAGAAUUUCUUGAGUCAUGUGAUUUCAUCAAGGCAAACACCCAGUGGCGAAAAGUUCAAGAUCGGCUAGAGGAUGAUGAACGCUAUGCUCGACUUGAGAAGAUUGACCGCUUGGAUGUUUUUCAAGACUAUAUAAGGCAUCUUGAAAAAGAAGAGGAAGAACAGAAGAGAAUUCGGAAGGAGCAAUUAAGGAGACAAGAACGGAAAAACCGCGAUGAGUUUCGGAAGAUGAUGGAAGAACAUGUUGCUGAUGGCACACUUAACGCAAAAACUUACUGGCGUGACUACUGUUCACAGAUAAAAGAUUCACGUGCUUACCUGGCAGUUGCUUCAAACUUGUCUGGCUCGAUGCCAAAAGAACUCUUUGAUGAUGUCAUGGAGGAGCUUGAUAAGCAGUAUCAAGAUGAUAGGGCUUUAAUUAAAGAUGAAGUGAAAUCUGGAAAGAUUCCUAUGUUGGCCUCAUGGACAUUAGAGGACUUCCAAGCUGCUGUUACUGAGGACGAAAAAUAUAAAGGAGUGUCAAACAUAAAUAUCAAGCUUAUUUAUGAGGACCAAAUUGAAAGGCUCAAGGAAAAGGAUCUAAAGGAGGCCAAGAAGCGUCAGCGACUGGGUGAUAAUUUUCUGGAUCUACUGUAUUCAAUCAAGGAAAUUACUGCUGCUUCAACAUGGGAUGAUUCUAAAUCACUAUUUGAUGAUACCCAGGAAUACAGGGAUCUGGGUGGCGAGACAUAUGCUAAAGAGCUUUUUGAAGAGUAUAUUGCCCGCCUCAAAGAAAGGCUUAAAGAGAAAGAGCGCAUGAGGGAAGAAGAGAAGGCGAAGAAAGAGAAAGACCGUGAAGAGAGAGACAAGAAGAAAGAGAAGGAAAAGGAAAAGAAGGAGAAAGAUCGCAAAGAAAAAGAAAGAGACCGAGAGAAGGAAAGAGAAAAGGAAAAAGGAAAAGACCGGUCAAGGAGAGAUGAAAUGGAUAUUGAUGAUGAUGUGGAAAUUCAUGCCUCGAAAGAUAAGAAACGAGAGAAGGAUAAAGAAAAGAAGCAUAAAAGGCGCCACCAUGACACCACAGAUUCUGAAAGGGAUGAGAAGGAUGACUCGAGGAAAUCUCGAAGGCAUAGCAGUGAUCGCAAGAAAUCUAGGAAGCACACCCAUGCUUCAGACUCAGAUAGUGAAAACCGGCAUAGAAGACACAAAAAGGAUCGAGAUAGUUCCCGCAAAAAUGGUGGGCAUGAGGAGCUUGAAGACGGUGAACUUGGAGAAGAUGGGGAGAUCCAUUAG
Molecule: ribosomal RNA, 2979 nt
Filed under: Triticum aestivum (bread wheat)
Lineage: Eukaryota; Viridiplantae; Streptophyta; Magnoliopsida; Poales; Poaceae
Description: partial small subunit ribosomal RNA
Source: RNAcentral